Molecule: ribosomal RNA, 350 nt
Filed under: uncultured bacterium
Lineage: Bacteria
Description: partial 16S ribosomal RNA
Rfam family: Bacterial small subunit ribosomal RNA
Source: RNAcentral
GCUACGGGCGGCAGCAGUCGAGAAUCAUUCACAAUGGGGGAAACCCUGAUGGGGCGACGCCGCGUGGGGGAAUGAAGGUCUGCGGAUGGUAAACCCCUGUCAUGGGGGAGAAAAUUAAAAAGAUAGUACCACAAGAGGAAGAGACGGCUAACUCUGUGCCAGCAGCCGCGGUAAUACAGAGGGCUCAAGCGUUGUUCGGAAUCACUGGGCGUAAAGCGUGCGUAGGCUGUUUCGUAAGUCGUGUGUGAAAGGCGCGGGCUCAACCCGCGGACGGCACAUGAUACUGCGAGACUAGAGUACUUGAGGGGGAACCGGAAUUCUCGGUGUAGCCGUGAAAUGCGUAGAUAUCG